AAAGAUGAAAAUAGUGUGACCUAACCUACGAAGAUUAAAUGAAGGAUGCCCAAGUAUGUUUUCCUCUAUUGCACAGAAAAUGGUCUUUGCAAACUCCUACUAGUGCUCUGUCUCACUUUCAUCUGUUACCGGCCAUUUGUCCAUCUGAUUCUUCUUCUGCCUCAUUCAAUCAUGAAGAUUUGACUUGUAUUAAGUAUGCAUUUUUUAUUGAAUGUAGAGCAAUAAUGUGCAGAAAGUAUUCAAAUUCCUCGGAUAUUCUACAGAUCGAGGACAAACCUAAGUCCCAAUAUGAUUCUCACCAAAUGCCGAACUCUCCCUCUCACUCUGCUAUUUUCAUUUUUAUUAGAAAAGGUUUGACACCAAAUGCAAACCUUUUCUGCUACAUGCCUGGUUUAUAAGAAACCAUUACUUUGUACUUGUGUUUCAUAUAUUGACUGGUGACAGGUGGUAUGAAGGAAUACAUUGAGAUUUAAUUAGCAGCAGUUCCUUGUUGCACAUGAUCCCUCAGCUUGCAUAUUUGUUUUUGGUACUUGCAGGUACACAUACAAGCUGGGGCAUAGGUUAGUUAAUGGUACAACAGUUUGGAGUCAAGAAUAUCAGUUUAAAUC
This 608-nucleotide long non-coding RNA is filed under the name Trifolium pratense (red clover). RNAcentral's name for it is "long non-coding RNA (TPRA_LNC005144)". Lineage: Eukaryota; Viridiplantae; Streptophyta; Magnoliopsida; Fabales; Fabaceae. The record is from RNAcentral.